This 90-nucleotide transfer RNA is filed under the name Candidatus Bathyarchaeota archaeon. RNAcentral's name for it is "tRNA-Ser". It matches the Rfam family "tRNA". Rfam says of the family: Transfer RNA (tRNA) molecules are approximately 80 nucleotides in length. Their secondary structure includes four short double-helical elements and three loops (D, anti-codon, and T loops). Lineage: Archaea; Thermoproteati; Candidatus Bathyarchaeota. The record is from RNAcentral.
GCCGGGGUGGCCGAGUGGAUUAAGGCGCAGGCCUUGAGAGCCUGUGGCCCCUUACGGGCCGCAUGGGUUCGAAUCCCAUCCCCGGCGCCA